AAGUCGUAACAAGGUUUCCGUAGGUGAACCUGCGGAAGGAUCAUUAACAGUUUAUAUGUUUAUGUCUAUGUUGUUGUUGUGAUGUGUGUAACACCCUGUGUGACAAUUGCCAUUCUUCUUUCGUUUUUUGGCAAUGUCAUAUCUUUUUUUUAACCAUAUGUUUACCUGUUAUUCUUAUAUAUACCAUACCAUAUAUUUAUAUAUCGAAAACUGCCAGCAAUGGAUCACUCGGUUCUU
RNAcentral lists this unclassified non-coding RNA (237 nucleotides) under fungal sp. RNAcentral's name for it is "partial internal transcribed spacer region". The stretch from base 1 to 46 matches the Rfam family "Eukaryotic small subunit ribosomal RNA", at positions 1786 to 1831 of the family's 1831-position model. Lineage: Eukaryota; Fungi. The record is from RNAcentral.